This 602-nucleotide ribosomal RNA is filed under the name Salmonella enterica subsp. enterica serovar Typhimurium. Its description in RNAcentral is "partial 23S ribosomal RNA". It matches the Rfam family "Bacterial large subunit ribosomal RNA", at positions 830 to 1344 of the family's 2925-position model. Lineage: Bacteria; Pseudomonadati; Pseudomonadota; Gammaproteobacteria; Enterobacterales; Enterobacteriaceae. The record is from RNAcentral.
CAAUCAAACCGGGAGAUAGCUGGUUCUCCCCGAAAGCUAUUUAGGUAGCGCCUCGUGAAUUCAUCUCCGGGGGUAGAGCACUGUUUCGGCUAGGGGGCCAUCCCGGCUUACCAACCCGAUGCAAACUGCGAAUACCGGAGAAUGUUAUCACGGGAGACACACGGCGGGUGCUAACGUCCGUCGUGAAGAGGGAAACAACCCAGACCGCCAGCUAAGGUCCCAAAGUCAUGGUUAAGUGGGAAACGAUGUGGGAAGGCCCAGACAGCCAGGAUGUUGGCUUAGAAGCAGCCAUCAUUUAAAGAAAGCGUAAUAGCUCACUGGUCGAGUCGGCCUGCGCGGAAGAUGUAACGGGGCUAAACCAUGCACCGAAGCUGCGGCAGCGAACGUAUCACCCAAGACAACUUUACGGAGUUGACGAUUGACGGAGCGAAGCGACGUCAAAGCGUUCAUUAAAGUCGAGUUGGCUUAGGGAUACGUUCGUUGGGUAGGGGAGCGUUCUGUAAGCCUGUGAAGGUGUGUCGUGAGGCAUGCUGGAGGUAUCAGAAGUGCGAAUGCUGACAUAAGUAACGAUAAAGCGGGUGAAAAGCCCGCUCGCCGGAAGA